Transfer RNA from Babjeviella inositovora NRRL Y-12698, 103 nucleotides. It matches the Rfam family "tRNA". From Rfam's summary of the family: Transfer RNA (tRNA) molecules are approximately 80 nucleotides in length. Their secondary structure includes four short double-helical elements and three loops (D, anti-codon, and T loops). NCBI's taxonomy places the organism in Eukaryota, Fungi, Ascomycota, Pichiomycetes, Serinales. The record is from Rfam.
GCUUCACUAGCUCAGUUGGCAGAGCGUCAGUCUCAUAACAGGGCCCUUCGGGGUCACGUGAUGAACUAUCUGAAGGUCGAGAGUUCGACCCUCCCGUGGAGCA